This 447-nucleotide ribosomal RNA is filed under the name Triticum aestivum (bread wheat). RNAcentral's name for it is "partial small subunit ribosomal RNA". Lineage: Eukaryota; Viridiplantae; Streptophyta; Magnoliopsida; Poales; Poaceae. The record is from RNAcentral.
AUGGCUCAACUCCUGGCAAGUCACCCCGGGCGCAGCUGUGGAAGUUGGUGCAGGGCAGUUCAUGGAACAGAGGCAAAGAAAACGGCCACGGGGCAGCCUACGGAGCAGAUGCUGUCUAGCAACGGCCGGCUUACGGCGAGGCGAUGGGUUGCUAGAGGUAGCGGAGGCUUAGGCAAGCCACUCGGAGGUGCGGCAGAAGAGGCCGGCUCAGUGCGGUACAGCGCGGGCGAUGCUUCAAGGCAGUGGCGACGCAACAGAAGCGGGUUGAGGCAGAGGCGGCUGCAGCCCGGGCACAACAGGAGCAGAGUGAGGCAGCCCGCACCAGCAGCCAAGGCCGGUGACAACAACUGGAUGACACAACGAUCCGACUCGACGAGGGCUCAAGUUGAAGGCGGCUCGACCAGGGGGGCCAAGGCAGACGGCGAGGCCGAUAAGGUGCGCUGGUGA